This 451-nucleotide ribosomal RNA is filed under the name Marinilabiliales bacterium. Its description in RNAcentral is "bacterial SSU rRNA". It matches the Rfam family "Bacterial small subunit ribosomal RNA", at positions 1 to 449 of the family's 1533-position model. Lineage: Bacteria; Pseudomonadati; Bacteroidota; Bacteroidia; Marinilabiliales. The record is from RNAcentral.
UACAAUGAAGAGUUUGAUCCUGGCUCAGGAUGAACGCUAGCGGGAGGCUUAACACAUGCAAGUCGAGGGGUAACGAUGGCUUCGGCCAGGCGACGACCGGCGCACGGGUGAGUAACGCGUAUGCAACCUGCCUUUAACAGGGAGAUAGCCCAGAGAAAUUUGGAUUAAUAUCCCAUAAUAUCAAGAAUUCGCAUGUUUUCUUGAUUAAAGCUCCGGCGGUUAAAGAUGGGCAUGCGUGCCAUUAGUUAGUUGGUAAGGUAACGGCUUACCAAGACAGCGAUGGCUAGGGGGUCUUAAAGGAUGGUCCCCCACAUUGGUACUGAGACACGGACCAGACUCCUACGGGAGGCAGCAGUGAGGAAUAUUGGGCAAUGGAGGCAACUCUGACCCAGCCAUCCCGCGUGCAGGAUGACGGCCCUAUGGGUUGUAAACUGCUUUUGUAUGAGAAGAA